AGUCACUGACAUUAGAUACCCCUGUAUCCAGGGUGUAAACGCUGCAGACUUGGUGUUGGGAACCCUUCGGGGGUGCUCAGUGCCGGAGAGAAGUUGUUAAGUCUGCUACUUGGGAGUACGUCCGACAAGGAUGAAACUUAAAGGAAUUGGCGGGGGAGCACCGCAACGGGAGGAGCGUGCGGUUUAAUUGGAUUCAACGCCGAAAACUCACCAGCAGCGACUGUUACAUGAAAGUCAGGUUGAUGACCUUACUAGAUUUUCAG
This 263-nucleotide ribosomal RNA is filed under the name uncultured archaeon. Its description in RNAcentral is "partial 16S ribosomal RNA". It matches the Rfam family "Archaeal small subunit ribosomal RNA", at positions 718 to 982 of the family's 1478-position model. The record is from RNAcentral.